RNAcentral lists this non-coding RNA (222 nucleotides) under Bacillus cereus. RNAcentral describes it as "T-box sequence". It matches the Rfam family "T-box leader". Rfam says of the family: Uncharged tRNA acts as the effector for transcription antitermination of genes in the T-box leader family. Lineage: Bacteria; Bacillati; Bacillota; Bacilli; Caryophanales; Bacillaceae. The record is from RNAcentral.
UCAAAUACGUUGAAAGAGCCCAGUAGCAGUUUGUCACUGUUAUCGAGAAAGCUAGGGGUUGCUGGAACCUAGCACAAACAAACUUGUGAAUUACACUCUGGAGUAUCUUAGGUAAUGCUAAGCGGAGUAGCAAUCGAUAUUUUUGCUAAGAGUGGUAUGAAUAGUAAAAUGAUUACUAUUUGUGCAAUUUGGGUGGUAACACGGUUAAAAAUCGUCCCUAUG